This is a long non-coding RNA of Bradysia coprophila, 1155 nucleotides long. RefSeq lists it as uncharacterized. Lineage: Eukaryota; Metazoa; Arthropoda; Insecta; Diptera; Sciaridae. The record is from RefSeq and is a predicted model, not a curated record.
ACUAAACGGAGUGCUCUUUUUAAGUGGAAACUAUACUUUAUAAUAACCAAAUCAUAACUGUUGCCAAAAUUUUAUGGGCAAUUUCAUCAAUGAAGAAAGCGGGAGUUUCGUCAAUGAAUCAGGAGAACCAUUCGAAUGAGAAUCAGCGCACUUACUACGGCGUGAGUUUCAAUGCAACUGGAAAAUAUUAUCGAGCCAGUCUUGUCCAGUAACAGUGCAAAAAUUGGUUAAACACACAGGAAACAUUGCAUCAAAAACAGAAAAUGCAGAAUCAAUCUAGACAAUCGAACGAAUAAUCGGACGAAGAAAUUACACGAAGAUUUUGGCCCGAAAUAUUAACAAUGGAUGUCCUUGUUGGUAAAAGCCAUAAGGAAUUCAUACACAGUAAAACUACGACAAAGCAAUUGGAAUGCGAAUGUUAGAAUGGUUUCGUCGUUUCGAUGUAAUUGAGAGCUGCUUAGUGAGUUUUAGCAUAGCAAUUAGUAUGUAAAUAUAAGCCGGAAAUUGACACUUGACAAGUAACUGUCAAAAUAUGAAAAACCUAUGCGCUGACAUUGAUUUAUCAGUAUGAGUAAUAGUUAUUUAUGUAUCGAUUGUGGAGGCCGAAAGAGUUACGUUAUAAGUUUUAUAUGCUGCGUACUGGAGACGAAAGUUAAAAAAUAUAAGCCCAAGGGCCGAAAGUUACAGAAAAAUGAAAGCUAGAGGCUAAUGUGGGCUAAAUUUACGAGAAAAAUUCUGUAAUUUGUGCCCAACGCAUGAAAAGAACUUAAUUAUUUCUUAUUCACAUACGACUCAUAAAUUUCAAUUAAAUGGCAAUAUUUUCAAAAUUCGAACUUUUACAACUUUUACUUCAACAUGCUACAAAAGCCGUAUAAGAAGGAUUUAAUAAUGACAAUAUUUACCUUUAAGUAUUGCUAUUUUGUCUAUGAAUGAUCGCAUGUAAGUAGUGUCGACUUGAAAUCGCACUCGCGCUAGGUUAGUGAUGUGAAGUGAGCAUGUUUUGUUGUACAUUUUGACCUGUGUAACGUUUUCUAUUAGAGCAGUGGUACGGCUGGAAACUGGAAUAUGUUUAUACAAACACGAAAUUUUGAAAACCGACACCUUUUCUGCUUCUGUGUUUUAUUUGAGUUUCUGAUUUCUCCAUAUAAAAAUACA